GUAGGUGAACCUGCGGAAGGAUCAUUAACACGUAUCCACGUUUAUCACCCGAGAAUUAUCUUAGGAUUAAACUUAUUCGAGUAAAGCCUGACGCGACUUCCCCUUUUGAGGACUUUCUUCUUUCUGGGUCAGCCGCUCUUCAAAAGUUCGCUUUUGAGGGCAUGUGGUUCAUGGAAAGAGGAGGGACCUUUGAGGGGGAUGAGUGUUGAGCCGGGCCCCUCACUUAACCGUGUGUGGCGCCAUUGAAUUC
Molecule: unclassified non-coding RNA, 250 nt
Filed under: plant metagenome
Description: partial contains small subunit ribosomal RNA, internal transcribed spacer 1, and 5.8S ribosomal RNA
Source: RNAcentral